AACGCACCUUGUGCCCUCUGGUUAUUCCGGAGGGCAUGCCUGUUUGAGUAUCAUGAACACCUCAACUUCCAUGGUUUGCCAUGGCAGCUUGGACUUUGGAGGUUUUGCUGGCCUGUGGUCGGCUCCUCUCAAAUGAAUCAGCUUUCCGGUGUCUGGUGGUUCACGGGUGUGAUAACUAUCUACACCGUGGUUUUCUGCUGGGUAACCUUCAGUGAUGAAGGUUCGCUGGAGCUCAUAGACGUCCCCCUUGGUGAGGACAGCUCUUUGAACGUUUGAUCUCAAAUCAGGUAGGACUACCCGCUGAACUUA
Molecule: ribosomal RNA, 309 nt
Filed under: uncultured Tomentella
Lineage: Eukaryota; Fungi; Basidiomycota; Agaricomycetes; Thelephorales; Thelephoraceae
Description: eukaryotic LSU rRNA
Source: RNAcentral